AGUGAACGCUGGCGGUAGGCCUAACACAUGCAAGUCGAACGGCAGCACAGUAAGAGCUUGCUCUUACGGGUGGCGAGUGGCGGACGGGUGAGGAAUACAUCGGAAUCUACUUUUUCGUGGGGGAUAACGUAGGGAAACUUACGCUAAUACCGCAUACGACCUACGGGUGAAAGCAGGGGAUCUUCGGACCUUGCGCGAUUGAAUGAGCCGAUGUCGGAUUAGCUAGUUGGCGGGGUAAAGGCCCACCAAGGCGACGAUCCGUAGCUGGUCUGAGAGGAUGCACAGACACACGAGCUCAGAGACACUCCCGAGUCCUCUGCGAGGGGCAGGAGUGGAAUAUAGGGCACUAGGGGCAAGAGUGUGACACACACAUACCGCGUGUGAGAAGAGCGCCCGGGUUGUAAAGAGCCCUUGUUGGGGAAGAAAAGGCGGCGGUUUAAACCCCGGCGGUUUGACGGUAACCAAAAAAAAAGGCACGGCUAACUUCCUG
Molecule: ribosomal RNA, 490 nt
Filed under: uncultured bacterium
Lineage: Bacteria
Description: partial 16S ribosomal RNA
Rfam family: Bacterial small subunit ribosomal RNA
Source: RNAcentral